This 154-nucleotide ribosomal RNA is filed under the name uncultured bacterium. RNAcentral's name for it is "partial 16S ribosomal RNA". It matches the Rfam family "Bacterial small subunit ribosomal RNA", at positions 355 to 507 of the family's 1533-position model. The record is from RNAcentral.
UGGGGAAUUUUGGACAAUGGGCGCAAGCCUGAUCCAGCCAUGCCGCGUGCAGGAUGAAGGCCUUCGGGUUGUAAACUGCUUUUAUUUGGGAAUAAACCUCUUUACGUGUAGAGAGCUGAAGGUACCAAAUGAAUAAGCACCGGCUAACUCCGUG